RNAcentral lists this ribosomal RNA (437 nucleotides) under uncultured Lachnospiraceae bacterium. RNAcentral describes it as "bacterial SSU rRNA". It matches the Rfam family "Bacterial small subunit ribosomal RNA", at positions 341 to 792 of the family's 1533-position model. The record is from RNAcentral. Lineage: Bacteria; Bacillati; Bacillota; Clostridia; Lachnospirales; Lachnospiraceae.
ACGGAAGGCAGCAGUGGGGAAUAUUGGGCAAUGGGCGAAAGCCUGACCCAGCGACGCCGCGUGAGGGAAGAAGGUCUUCGGAUUGUAAACCUUAGUCAACAGGGAAGAAGCAAGUGACGGUACCUGUGGAGGAAGCCACGGCUAACUACGUGCCAGCAGCCGCGGUAAUACGUAGGGGGCAAGCGUUAUCCGGAUUUACUGGGUGUAAAGGGAGCGUAGACGGUUUGGCAAGUCUGAAGUGAAAUGCGGGGGCUCAACUCCUGAACUGCUUUGGAGACUGUCGAACUAGAGUGCAGGAGAGGUAAGUGGAAUUCCUAGUGUAGCGGUGAAAUGCGUAGAUAUUAGGAGGAACACCAGUGGCGAAGGCGGCUUACUGGACUGUAACUGACGUUGAGGCUCGAAAGCGUGGGGAGCAAACAGGAUUAGAUACCCUGGUA